This 425-nucleotide ribosomal RNA is filed under the name uncultured bacterium. RNAcentral's name for it is "bacterial SSU rRNA". It matches the Rfam family "Bacterial small subunit ribosomal RNA", at positions 359 to 776 of the family's 1533-position model. The record is from RNAcentral.
GAAUCUUCCGCAAUGGACGAAAGUCUGACGGAGCAACGCCGCGUGAGUGAUGAAGGUUUUCGGAUCGUAAAACUCUGUUGUUAGGGAAGAACAAGUACCGGAGUAACUGCCGGUACCUUGACGGUACCUAACCAGAAAGCCACGGCCAACCACGUGCCAGCAGCCGCGGUAAUACGUAGGUGGCAAGCGUUGUCCGGAAUUAUUGGGCGUAAAGCGCGUGCAGGUGGUCUCUUAAGUCUGAUGUGAAAGCCCCCGGCUCAACCGGGGAGGGUCAUUGGAAACUGGGAGACUUGAGUGCAGGAGAGAAGAGUGGAAUUCCACGUGUAGCGGUGAAAUGCGUAGAGAUGUGGAGGAACACCGGUGGCGAAGGCGACUCUUUGGCCUGUAACUGACACUGAGGCGCGAAAGCGUGGGGAGCAAACAGG